GUGCACCUGAAGCAUACUCUCUCUCUGAGCCUUUUUGAGCCACAUGAGAAUCACUAAAUUAUUUACCAGUAUAUCAGCACCAUAUAUGAGGAAGCAGAAUUUCAGAAAAGACAAAAAGAUAAAUAAAAAUAAUUUCUUAGUCUGAAGAUAAGCUGAGCUAUAUGAAGAAUGUAAUAGAUGAAAUGUGAUGCAAGCUGGACGGGACAAUAGAAAUGUCAAGAAAAACAUUUUUUUUUUAAUUGUGGAUAAAGUUCAGAGUUAACCUACUGGCCAAAGGCAUCAGUGCCCAGAAGGCUGGGGUUGGUUCUCAGCCAGAAGGAAGGAAAGAGAUGCUGGUGGGAAGGAGCCCAAGACAUUCCUCCUCUGAGAAGGAGGCCAAACCAGAAGAAUAUUUCAGAAAAUUGAUAUAAUAGAGCCUUGAACCACUCCAGGUGCAGUCCUGUACAGCUGUGGAAAGCUUUGUACACUUUCUAACAACUUCUCCAGGAAAAGGUACAACUGCUUCUACUUUGGUAACAUUUGUCUCUCUGUUAAGGAGACUCAGUGGCCAUUUGAUGACACAUGAUUCACUGGUGAACUUUACAGAAAUAGUCUAAAAGGGAAAAGUUGGCCUUUCAGUCAAUCAGCAACCAAUGAAUUAGUUGGAGUGAGAUGGUUCAGAGAUUUAGUCACUGCUGGGUUCAACCUGGUUUCCAGUGAUGGAUGGGGGUGGAGAUCCAGGCAGUGAGGAAACAGGAAAAUGUAAGAUGAGAAAGAUGUAACUAUAGAGGUCAGUGGGGGCAGGACAACUGUAGCAUCUUGUUUCCUUGAUUAACUACUAUUUAAAUUCAUAAUUUAACCCCCAGGAGGGGGUUCCAGUAGAAGGUCCUUGCCCACUGAAACAGGACCCUUUCUGAACGAUGAAAGGAGAUUCUUCCAAUAGGAAUGUGAUGGUAUAUUUUGGAGAUGAUCAAAGAAGGAGAUAGACUGUACCAUGAAAAUAAUAAAUGUCAAUGUUGUUUAGCACCCAUUACCUCACAAUUUAUGAGUCAAUGUUUGUGCAGACUUCUGAGUUCAUAAGGUAAGAGUAAAUAGAAAUAAUUACCAUUAAAUACCAAGUUUUUCAGUCCUCACCCCAAAGGCUGUAUUUACAGAAGCAGUCUUAAACACCUCUCUGAAGAGCCGUUAGCCAAACUGAUGAAAGAGGAAGAUCCUUUCUGAGAGCACUAUAAUUCAGCAAUCACAGCAACAUCUUGGUGUUGGAAAGAACAUAGAGCAGCACUGGAUUAAGACAUACUGAACCACAAGUUCAUAGUUCCUUCUUUCCCAUCAAAGAUACGAAGAAUUGAUCUUUUUAAAGCCACAGCUUCUUUGUUGAUAAAAAUGGGGAUAAUAAUAGCAGUUUUUCAAGGUUGGUAUGAAGACUAAGAAGAACAUGUGUAAAAUUCCCAUCAAAAUGCUAGCAUUGGGGAGCCUGGGUGGCUCAGUCGGUUAAGAGUCCGACUUCAGCUCAGGUCAUGAUCUCACAGUUCGUGGGUUCGAGCCCCGCGUCAGGCUCUGUGCUGACAGCUCAGAGCCUAGAGCCUGUUUCAGAUUCUGUGUCUCCCUCUCUCUCUGCCCCUUCCCUGUUUACACUCUGUCUCUGUCUCAAAAAUAAAUAAACAUUAAAAAAAAAUUUUGAAUGCUAGCAUAUAUUAAAGUUAAAGUGAAUUGUAGCUAUUACAAUGGUGGUCAGAGCUAACCGAUAAAAAGCCUUAUAUGCUAACUACUUUGUGUACUUUCUUCUACCUUUUCUUUUAAAUCCAUUGACUCUAUGCUAGUAUUUAACUUUUUGCCUCAUACUUAUUUUUACCUCUCUGACCAUCUGAAGAUUAAUUGUGCCCCACUGUCUGCUUGACUUUUUCAUCCCAGCUUUACUCCUCAGUGUUCUAUACUAUAUCUCCCCUUGACUCCAUGAUCUGCAUCUAAUGGGCAAGUUCCAUCCAGUCUCUACAUCUACUUUAGAAGUGGGUAGUCAGGGAAUAUCUGUGAAGACUUUAUGGAUGAACUAGGAUAUGAGUUACACCUUGAGAACAAGCAAAAUUGAAACUCAAGAGGACUGUAUGUUUUCUUUUCAAUAUUCCAUAUAGACCACCAAGUUAUGUUUUGCAUUUGCCAUUAUAAUUGCAUCUUUUCUUACUUCAGCAUUUUGGUAUAGCAUUUCAGUAUUCCAAGAAUGAAUGACAUCAUUGUCAGGGACAAAAGAGUUGGCUUAAUUUUUGUCGAUAACAAGCUGGGUUGAUUAUUUCCUGAUGAUACGAUAGUACCUUAAUUCAGAGAUUCCUGUGCUGGUGGAAUCAUGAGUUCAGUUGUCUUCAAAUUGUGAUUUGUGAAGGCCUGGAGUACUAAAAAGAUAUUACACGGCUCUUCAUGGGGAAUCUAGAAGGGGAGAGCAAAUCAAGAUGCAGGCUGCUUGGCUCCAACCCAAGCAUUCCACUUUUAUUGCUCCAUAUCGGAUUCUAGAUAAGAUUUUAUUUAGAAAAUAAAAAAUAAUUACACAACUUGAAAAAGAAUAACUUUGGAGACUCUCUAUUUCAUAUAUGAGAAAGCACAAUCUAGUCUGUUAGCAUGCCAAUAUUAUACUAUUUAUUUUUAAACCAUUUAUGCAUUUGGCUCAGUGAAUACUUAUUGAACAUCUACUCAGUGUGUGGUGUGCUGCUCAGGUCUGAGGACAAUGCAAAAAACAAAACAAAACAAAACAAAUAGUCCUGCCCUUGAAGAAGAAAUAGCCCAGGGUAGCAGUGAUUGCUGGCUGUCUACUCAAAAUCCCUCCUUCCCUUCUUCCUUACCAUGUAAAGGCAAGCAUCGAUGUGCCCAAUGAAAAAGUAACACUUCCCAGUCACCCCUGUAGCUAGGGGUAGACAAUAAAAAGUCAGGUAAGGUAUUGGGUGAGACUUCCAGGAAAGCACUAUAGAAGGAAACUAAACAGAGUAAAUCCAUCUUUUAUCCAUUGCUUUCUCUUCCUUCCUACUGUCUGAUAGGGAGACAUAAUUGCUGGAGUUCUCCUGGACAUGCGGCAACCUAGGGAUGGAAACCAUGUGCUGUGGAAGUUUAGAAAAAUAGAAGGGUCCUAGAAACAUGAUGACUUUGAAGUUGACACACCAGCACAGGACUGCCCAUUUAUUGAUUUCCUUUGUAUAAAUAAAAAUAAGCCUCCAACUUGUUUAAGUCACUGUUAUUAUUUUUUAAUAUUAAACAAAACCUAAUCCUAAUGGACAAGAAGACAAGUAAAGAGGCAAAUUCAGAAGGAUGAUAAAUUAUGAUAGGGAUAGAAUUUUUUAGAGAACCAUGAAGUUUAAAUGUAACCCAAGCACUGGGGUUUGGGAAAGGUUUCUUAGAGAAGUGAUAUCUAAACAGAAUCCUGUAAACUGAGUUGAAGUCAGCCAAAUAAAGAGUAUGGGAAACAGGGAUAUGGAGCAGUGAGUGCAAAAACCUGGGGGGAUGGGGAGUAGGGAGAGGAUCCAAUGCCUUCUGGGAAUUUAAAGUAUUUCAGUAAAGAUAGUAGGAAGAGGGCAUGGGUGGGGGAGUGGUAAGGCAUGAGAAGGGGUCAUAAAGUGUCUUGCCUGACUAAAAAGGGAGGCCACUAAAGGAUUUUAAGCAGGGAGUAAUAUGAUAAUAUUUGGAUUUUAGGCAUAUCAUUCUAAAUUGAAGUGAUGGAAAACCAAUUAGGAGGCUGUUUUAAUAAUACUGUCAAAUUAGAGCCAAAAAAAAGGUUAAGAAAAGGGAAAUUUAAAGAAUGUGGUUAUUGAUCAAAUUGGAUGAAGCAGUUGAAUCCAUAAGAAAGAAGGAAGAAUCAAGGUUAAUGUCUGGGUUCUUAGGUUGGUAAUUUCAUUCACUGAUAUAAAGAAUCCAGGAAGAGGAGCAGGCUUGUUCUCUUCAAAGGUCACCAAAAGAUGACCUAGAUCUGCACAUGAACACUUGUACAUGCCAGUCAUAAAAGGCCCUAUAUCACUCAAAAUACUAUCAGGAAGCAAAAUCCAAUUCAAAAGAUUGAAGAAACUUUCAUGUAAGUAAACCUUACAGUGUUGUGGUUGGGAUUAAAGAAACCAUUAAGGGAUGUUGAGGAGCCCAAAGAUCCUCAAUGGUGGAGAACCCUUACCACUCUGUAGGCCUCAAAUGGUAAGAGUAGAAAAUAGUGUUACUAGCAAGCCAAGCUGGAGGACCAAGCUGGGAUAACCAGCAGAGUCAUGUGCUAAACACUUUAAAUAUAUUAUGUCUUUUAAUUCCCACAGUGAGAUAGGUAUUAUUAUUACAUGAAUUUAUAUAACUUUCCCAAAGACACAAAGCCAAAAAGUUGCCAAUCUAAGUCUCCUAACCAUCUCUGACUUCAACAUCCAUACUCCUACCUUCUGCAAUGAUCGGUUUUUUUAAUCAAAUCCUUAUUGAGCCGCUUCUGUAGCAGGUACUGCCAGAGGUAUUGGCCAUAGACUAAUGGACAAAAGCAACAUGAUCCUUCCUCUCAUAUAAUUUUCUUACCUUUGGCGGGGUACAGAUCUGCCAUUCUGCUAUAUUCCCUAAACUAGUGUGGGAGACAUCUCUCUAACCCCCUCAGACCUUCCUCUUCACAAACAACAUCAUGGAGGUUUGAGUGUUGUUGGCAUAUGUUCAUUCACUUUCCUGAGAACCAAAGGAAGGGAGGUGGGACUUAGGCAGAAGAGAUUUUUUUCUGCUGUUUGUCUCAAAAUUUGUUGGAGCUCAAUCUCCACAUCCAGUAAGCCUGGCUGAAGACCCAGCUGGUACCACAACAGCACAUACGGUGUUGCUGGGAAGAGGUGUUCUCCUGCUUCAGUGUGUUCACCCAGGAUGAAAAGUCAACCAGAAUGACAUUCUGUGCUUCUGAUUUUAGGUCCUUGAGUAUUUGGUCAUUUGUUGUCUACAGUUUGUUUCACAGUAGACCUGCUUCCAAAUUGUAGCCCAUCUAGUAAGAAGCUGCUUAGCCUCGAGGUUUUCCUCAAUUGUGGCUGAGCUGCAGUUGAAGAAUUGGCUCAAGACAAAAUAUUUCGGUUCUUUCCCACAGUUUAUUCAUGCGUAUAGCCCAUGCCUCUCUGACUGGUGGACAUUAUUGGCGGCUUUCAUAUUUGUUUGUUUGCUUAUUUCUGCAACACCUGAAUUUCACUUAAUUUCUGCAACACCUUAAUGACACUUGCUGCACUGUGUUGAGAAACUAGUGUUUUGUAUACAUUAGAUUGAACUUGUGUCUUGAUAAUAACUGUUGGAUUUGUAGUAUGAGGUUAAGACCUUUCUAAAAGUCAAUAGAGAUCAUUUUUAUUGCUCUUUUUUUUAGUUCUGUUGGUUAGCUUUACUGCUACGAGGGAGUAAAACCCUUGUAAAUGUGCCCUUUUCUUACAAAUUCUCCAAACAUGUUUUAAAAAAUACAUGCUUCAGAGCGAAUUUGGUUGUAGCAAAUAAAAGAAGAUCAAGUUCCCCUAAUAGGUGACUAAAUGAAGAAGAAAAUAAAGAAGUUAGGCAAAAGAGUUAUUUUAAAGUGAGUGGGUUCAGAUGUUCUGUUCUUAAAUUUGAAAUGAAAAUAGGAUGUUAAAACAGAAAUCUGCAUAGAGUUGCAAAUAUGGCCUUGCACUCAAACUCCAGCCGUGGCUUCAGUGAAUAAUGGGAUAAACAGAGCACACUGUGGGAGGAGUAGAAACCUUGGGAGACGAUUACAGAGGAGGAAAAGGAGCUGGAUUCAGCAAAGGAGACAGAUAACUGACGGAGGUUUGCACAUGGUGCAUUUCCUUUUAAGUGUUUUUUAUUGGGUUUAAUAUCAAGAAAUUCUUUAUCUCUGGUUACAGAUUUUUCCUUCUAUCACUGAUGUUUCUUCAUUCUCUGCUUUGCAUGUGCUUUAUCUUUCCCAAUUAAUUUAGACACAUUUCCCUUAUUAAGAUAACAUAUAAAUAAGGUAGCAAUUCCAACUGGAUAUCCUUAUCAGAGCAAACCUAGGUAUCGUGUGGUAAAACCUCCAUCAUGAAAUGAAUGUUAACAAAUCAUUUUCAUAGGAAGUGUCCCUUUUAUAGACAACUUCAUGCUCAGUGAUUAGCCCAGGAGUAUGACUCCUAAAUUAAAAGGCAUUUUCAUGCUAUUUUUCAUUUGAUCAUGAGAUACCUUUCAUGCUGUUAAUUCUCCUUUGGUAGCAAUAGUUACAGCCAAGGUCUGCCGGUCACAGAUGUACUCCCCUAGUAUCAAACCUCUCUAUUCAUUUAUUCAACAUGCCUUAAUGAAGCCUCUAUAACAUCACUUGUUAUGUGCUGAAAACAAUUCAAAAAUAAUACCUGAGAGUCUCUAUCUUCAAGGAGAUUACUGUUAAUGGAUUACUAAUAGUCAUGAGAGUCAAUUUUUUAAUUGUUUUUUUUUAUUAAAGGCUUUUGGUACAUCUAGAACUUUGUACCAAUGUAGAAAUAAUCAUUAUUUUCAAAUGGAAAAAUCUACCUGAUUUAUUCAAAAGGGAAAGGAAACAUGUAUUUAGGAAUAAAGGAAACUGAACUCUUUUUCCAAUUGAAGGUUUCUCUCAGAAGCUACUGGCUUUAAUGGGAUUAUCGUUGAAGAAUAUUAGCCUUGAGUCAGUGUGCUCUUCAGUGGUUGAGAAUAAUUUUCAAAAAUUAUAAUUAAUGAUUAUUAAGUGAGUCAAUAAUAUAGACCCUCCUUUUGUCCAGCAUGAGGCUAGGUAAGAGAAAAUUUUUAGAGUAAUUAUGACAUAAAUUGAGAACCGGAAAUAACAUAUAAAAUAAGUUUAAAUACACUGCCUAUGCAGCGAUACUUGAUAGUUUACAGACAACUAAUUUAUUUGAUUAUAUACUAUUCUGUCUUUUGAACUGGCAUAAAUAUGGUAGAGCAGACAAUCAGGACUGAUAUAGCAGGACAGAUUAAAACAUUACAGAAGACAAGGAAGGGAGAAACCAUUUUGGACUGGAGUGGUAGACAAUGUAGUCUUCUUUAUUUACUUUAUCUUUUUAAAUUCUGUUUUCCCAGCCAGGGCCUUUAGAUGCUUCUGUAUUCAUUCUGUAACUCAAUUGUAGUGCAGAUUUGAAUGAACAAUUAAGAGGGGAAAACACAUUAUUAAAGGCAGGUGGAUAGGAAACAGAAUAAAAUUUCUAUAAAAAUCACCAUCGAAAAGAAUACAAAGAGAGGUGAAUAUGUGACAUUUCUUUUACAGCCACUUCCUCAUUUUUACUAGACCCACUGCCUGGAUUCCUUUGUGCACUGAGUAUGUUGUGGGCCAAGUCUAAUUUCUCAUGAAUGUUGUGUUCUGAUCAUAACUCCUGCCAGAAAUUUGGAGCAGUGUUGUUCAGAUCAACCUGGACAACAAUUACGUGCUCUGUGCACAUGUUUAACUAAACCAGUGAUCAGAAAUGACACUUUGCAGCAAAACGGCAAAGUUGGAAACGACAUCCAUGAUGGACCAGCUGCCAGUCUUGAAGAAUCUGGUCUCCAUCUGCAUUUAGUGCGUUAUCCUUUGGAUUAUUUUGUUAGUGUGGGUAAAUUUGCAAACUGGAGAAAAUGGGGAUAUACCAGAAACUUAGAAUGGAUUUAUAGGAGAUUUUCAAACUACCUGCAUGGCUUUCUUCAGUUCUUCUGUUUAUGUCAAUGAGUUCCCUGUGGCCUCAUGAGCAAAGUUGAGGAUGAAGACUUGAUUAUGAAAGGAAAAAUAGAACUUCAAUUAGGAAAAGCCAUUGUAUGACUUUACAGGUAAAAGGAAAUGUGUGGCCCAGUAGUGAAUUCUCCGUUUUCCUAUUUGUUUGUGAUUACUUGGGUUUUGAAAGCUGGAAAGGAUACCCUGUACAUUCCUGUACAUUGUUCCUUCAGUUCUAAAAUAAACACAUGAUUCUCAUUACAAGAAAAAAAUUUCUAACUAUGUAUGGAAACAGAUGUUAACUACACUUACUGUGACCAUUUUACAAUAUAUACAAGUAUCAAGUUAUUUUGUUGUACACCUGAAACUAAUAUAUGUUACAUGUCAAGUAUAUCUCAAUUUUAAAAAUAAAUUGGGGCACCUGGGUAGCCCAGUUGGUUAAGCGUCUGACUUCAGCUCAGGUCAUGAUCUCAUGGUUUGUGGGUUCGAGCCCUGUGUCAGGCUCUGUGCAGACAGCUCAGAGCCUGGAGACUGCUUUGGAUUCUGUGUCUCCCUCUCUCUCUACCCCUCCCCGCUUAUACUCUGUCUCUUUUUGACUCUCAGAAAUAAAUAAAAUGUUUAAAAAAUUUAAUAAAAGUGAAUUAAAAAUAAAUAAAAUUAACACAUUAAAGAAAAUUCAAAUAUAUAAAACUUGCUCCAACAGGCCCUCAGUAUGGGAUAUGAUAAUGUGCAUGAAGCCAAUGGGCAGAAUUUGUGGGAAAAUUUCACUACUAGUUAAUAAAAAAACAAGGCCUGCGUUUACACAUGUGAUAAUUUGAAGCCUAAGGUUGAGGUGAAUACUUUUCAUAAGUGAAACUCACAGUUGUACAAUGGAAUUAAUUUACCAAAAUACUUUUGUCGAUUUAAAAUAGGCAAGAGGUGGGGCACCUGGGUGGUUCAGUCAGUUGAGCGUCCAACUUCAGCUCAGGUCAUGAUCUCACAGCUCGUGAGUUCAAGCCCCACAUCGGACUCUGUACUGAGCUCAGAGCCUGGAGCUUGCUCUGGACUCUGUGUCUCCCUCUCUCUCUGCCCCUAACAUACUCACAUUCUGUCUCUGUCUCUCUCAAAAAUAAAUAAACAUUAAAAAAAAUUUUUUUAAUAGUCAAGAGGUUAGCUAUGUUAAAAAAAAAAAAGCCAAGAGACAUAGACAAAAGCCAUCAACCUCCUUUCUUGAAGUACACAUUAACUUUAUAGCAUGGGCCUUAUUUCUUACCUGUAAUUUAAUAAACUAGGAUAGUAAUAAAACAAAAUAGUUAAAGGGAAGAGCUAUAAUACAUUAGCUAGUAGUUUUUAAAAAUUAAGUAAACUGAAAGAAGAUACUACCAGAUACAAAGAUAAAAUAAGAAACCAGAAUAAAAUAAAGAAGAUGGAGUGAAAACAAAAGUUAUGAAAGAAAACUAAAGGCAAUGCGUGCGUUAAUAAAAAAAAAUAGAUUGGGGCACCUGGGUGGCUCGGUCAGUUAAACUUCCAUCUUUGGCUCAGGUCAUGAUCUUGAGGUCUGUGAGUUCAAAUUCCACUUUGGGCUCUGUGCGGACAGCUCAGAGCGCUGAGCCUGCUUCAGAUUCUGUGUUUCCCUCUCUCUCUGCUCCUCCCCCACUCACGCUCUAUCUCCCUUUCUCAAAAAUACGUAAACAUUAAAAAAAAAAAAACUAGAUUUUAAAAAUUGUAUAAAUUAAUAAGAAAAGACAAAAUACAUUUGAAUGAUUAAACUGAAGGGGUAAAGGAUGUAAAUAAAAAUGGUGUUAAGAUAUAAUCAGGAAUUUAAUAGAAUAGGUAUUAGGAGAACAUAAACCAAACAGGGGUGUGUGUCUGUGUGUCUGUGUAUCUUAUGUUUGUUACAUUAAAAUGACACCAAUUCAAAAGCUAUUGCAGUCAUAUUAAGUCAAUUACUGUUCUCAAAGUGAAAAGGCCACGAAGUUCAGCAUUUUGCCUCUUUUUUACCCUUCUGUGCAUGGAAUUAUUUCAUGGGUCCGAUGGCCCAUCGGUCCCGUGGCCAAAGAACUGAGGGGCUGCCAGAGGACACCCAGGCUGCUCCUCUGUGCUUCCCUUAACUGUCCCCUGUCACUGUUGUCCUGACCAAGAGACACCUUCAUCAGGGGAAAACACUCCUCAGUGAGUGUGGAGCCAAGAAUUCCAUUGUUUCAUAACAUGCAUAAUACUAGAAAGUAUUAUGCUAAGCAAAAUAAGCCAGCCAGAGAAAGAUAAAUACCAUAUGAUUUCACUCACUUGUGGAAUUUAAGAAACAAAACAAAUAAACACAAGGGGGAAAAAAGAGGAAAACCAAGAAACAAACUCUUAACUAUAGAGAACACACUGAUGGUCACCAGAGGGGAAGUGGAUGGGGGAUGGGUUAAAUAGGUGAUGGGGAUUAAGGAGCACGCUUGUAAGGAACACGGGAUAUUGCAAGGAACUGUUGAGUCACUAAAUUCUACAUCUGAAACUAAUACUACAUUUCAUGUUAACUAGCUGGAAUUUAAAUAAAAACUUAAAAAAAAAUUCCAUUGCUUCCGCCCCACCCAGUAGGGACAAGCAUAUUAUGAGGUGUGAUUGAUUUUACACCAUUUUGGCAGCAGAAGUCAGUCAUUACAUUGAUAAGGAAAUUCAUUAUCCAGAUUCUAUUUCACGUGAUUUGGCCAAACCUUUCCUGCCUGAUCAUAGUCAAAGCUAUAUUUUCCCCUAAAUAAUGAGGAUGCAAAGCCUUUGGAAAAUGUUUACCUGUCAGUUACUGACAAUCAGACUUAAAAUGUUGAAAGCUGAUUAGAUGUGGUCCUUUUAACUGUACUUUGGAAGUCAGAAUUAGCAUCAAAUAGCUCAUUAAUUACUGUAAAAAUAUCAAUAUUAUCAUUGGUUAAAAACAGCUCUAAUGUAAUAUUAUAUUGUAAGUAUUUGUAGUUUUAUUAUAAAAUCAACUGUGUAUUCAUAUUCUUCACCUUGAAAAUGUCUCAUUACAUUAUAACUCUAAUCCCAAAUUAUUGUUUUGAUUUAAUGUCUUUUUGCAUUCUUUUAUAAUUUUAAAUGUUUCAUAUUUUUAACUGAAUGAACAUGAAGAGAUACUUUAAUUUGUAAAGCUCUAAUUACAUAUCACUAUUUUAAUGUGUUUUCUUUAUCAGACACCUCAACAUUCUUUCCACAUCUGAAACAGCUCACCUUAAACUACUUAUCUAGAUAGCUUUCAAUCUUCUACAGUCUCCGGGAUGUAAUCAGGCAGUAAGGAGGAUGCCUCCCUACCUUUUUAUUUUUCCUCUAGAUAUUAUAAUGUUACUGGCCUCCCUUUAAAAAUAUUGCAUAGUUUGGUUUGGAAGAAAAUGAUAUCAUUUGUAGCUAUUACUGGAAAAGUUUGUCAUCACCUCAGUAAUAUUCCUCCUGGUUAUUUCAUAUCUUGGCAGUGGUAUGCCCUUCAGAAAACAUAAUAAAGUAAUGGAAUUGAACUCUCCCCAAGUAUUCCUUAAGAACUUUUUUUGUCCUGAAAACCUUCUUCCUUAGAUUUUUGCUUAUUAGUUCAAAAGCCCAUUCUUGCCUAUAUCCUGUCAGAGAUGCACAAAAAAAUGCUUUCAUAGUACAAAUGUAUUUCAAGAUAUUCAUUGGUGUGGCAGAGAUAUUUAAGGGUCUCACCGAAAAACCCCCAUCAGCUAAUGUUUCCCAGUAGGAUGACCCUGUAGAAAUCACUAGAAUACAUAAUGUUGGAGAAAUUUACAGUCUAUCAACAGGAUGCAUUGGACAUUGAGCCAUAAACUAGGUGCUGACCUGAUUCAGAGUUGAGAAAAGGUAGAAUCCCAUAACGGUCACUCCCAAGAAACAGUUUGAGGAAAAAACACAACCACUUUGUAAAGAAACUAAUAUUUCUAUAACUAGAGUUUUCCUUCCUGAACUUGUAUGAGAAAAAAAAGUUUGUGAUAUUUAAAGAGAGUCUCUCUAGUAUAUCCUGACAUUGCAGAAUUUUAUUUUAUUUUAUUAAUGCUAUUUAUUUAUUUUGAGAGAAGAGAGUGUGAUCAGGGAAAGGGCAGAGAGAGAGGGAGAGAGAGAAUCCCCAGCAGGCUCUGCACUAACAGCGCAGAGCCCAACAGCCUGACGCGGGUCUCAAUCUCGCGAACUGAUCCAUGAGAUCAUGACCUGAGCCAGAAUCAAGAGUCAGACGUUUGACUGAGCCACCCAGGCACCCCCUAACAUUGCAGAAUUUUAAAAUGUAUUCUAGUAGCUCCAUAGAUGCUGCUCUUUCUUAACAAAACUAUGAUUUCUUUUUUUUUUUUUUAACUAACUGUCCUGGCACAUAGAAUGAGUGUACAAAAUUUAAGUCAAGCUACAAGGAAUUAAUUCAAAGUACGUUAAGAAAAUAUAAAACGGAACGUAAAGCUAUAUAAUACAGAUUUGCAUAGCAUUUACUAUGAGUCAGCCACUGCUCUCGACACUUCGUAUAUUUUAGCAUGUUUAAUCUUCCCAAGAAGACUGUGAGAUGUACCAUAAAUUCCAUUUUUCAGAUGUAGAAACCCAAAUGCAGAAAUCAGCUUACAAUCACAGAGAACAAUUAUUUCAUCCCAAGGAAUCUGGUUCCAGAGCUGCUCUUGUAAGCACUAAGCUACAGUGUCUCUUAAUUACCUCACAAAUCUCCACUUGGAACUAGAACAAGACAUUUCUUGUAUCAAUACUGAUUUCACUAGAUCUACCAAUAAGAACAAGGAGAACAAGGAGAACUUGGGAUGGGAAAGAAGACAGCAAACAAAGAUGCCGUACUAUCAAAAUGAAAAGAUGCCAAAUAAAAUCAAAAUAUGAUCUGAAACGUGUGAUUAGGAACUAAAUAUCUAAACAGAACAGAAAACCAAUACCCAGCAAAAUAUUAAAAUGUAAUUCUUAGGGGAAAAAUAUCACUGGAGGAAAAAAAAUGGCUUUAGCUUUCUGAUGAAGGCCUUGAAGUCAGAGUCCUUACGCUGCAUGCAGAAAAUAAAUUUACCAGGAUGCCAACUGAUGUGCUCUGUUUAAAGAUAAAAUUUAAAUAUUUGACUCAGGUCUUCAUCACACAGACUCAAUAUCAUUCAGUCAUUACAGAUAUGUGUGUCCUAGCAAAGACAUGAUUUUCUAGCACAUGAAAUACAUUCUAACAAUAAUAUGCUUUUAAAUAUAUUAAGUUGGCAAUGAUACAAGCAAAAUAAUUCUCAUGUCUACUCGGUGUAUCUCUGUGUCCAGUGCUGUCAUUUUCAGCUGCAAAGCUCAUUAUAAUAACUUGCUUUUAUUCAUGUAGCAUGAAGUAUUCUACUGAACAUUGCUUUAGUCAAAAUGUUGAACGAAUAUAUUUUUAAAAAUCAACAUAUGAAGACCAUCUCACUCUAUCUUGGUAGAUUGAUUCUUGUCUAAUCAAUACACAUGAGAAUAGCUUCAAAGUCACAAAUCCAGCUCCUCCAAAACGGCCAAUGAACACAGUAGGUAUUUGACCAAUAUUUCUUACAUGAAUGAAUAAAUAUAUGCAUCUUGCCACAUAAGCAAAAAAGCAGAGUGUGUUUCUUUGAAUAUGAUGACAUAGAAACUUGAGUUUCUCUUUCAACUUGCUAUUUCAGGGUAGCAGAAUAUGUCACCCCAAAAUAUGCCACUCUGUCAUAAAGAUUAUUUUGAGCGGAAGGCAGUUGACAAGAAGCAGAUAUAAGAAAAGCUCUCUGUCCUUCCCCAUCUGCCUAAAACCAGAACAGAAAUUUGUAGAGGUGCCCUCUCCUUGUCAUGUACAUGUUCAUCAUCUUCUGUUUGUUUUUCUCUUGUUAAUCUGUCUUCUAUCAGUUUUAUUUGCUGGGCCUUGGUCAAUGAAUCUAAGAUAGGUAAAAGGAAAAAAGUUUUUCUUUCCUAUAUUGGUAAAGUGAGGUAUAAAAACACAGGGCAGAAAUCACAUCAGGACCAUAAAAUAAACCAUAAUAAAAUAAAAUUCAAUUAAAAAGACCAAUCAUUUAUAAGAAAUCAGUGUUUCUUAGUUAAGAAAUUGAGUUGAUAAAAACACAUAAUGAGUUGCUAUUGCUGACACUCAACCUCUUGAACCAGGCUAAGACCCCUCAAAUUGUGCUCAACUCAGAAGCAAUGAAAGCACGUUGAUUCAGGGGAGGAGAUAAAUUAGAACUGUUGAAAACUCUAUUCCUGGGACACCUGGGUAUCUUAGUCGAUUAAGUGUCCAACUCUUGAUUUCAGCUCAGAUCAUGUGUCUCAUGGUCUGUGAGAUUGAGCCUGCAUUGGAAUUCUCUCUCUCUCUCUC
Long non-coding RNA from Acinonyx jubatus (cheetah), 13844 nucleotides. RefSeq lists it as uncharacterized. The record is from RefSeq and is a predicted model, not a curated record. Lineage: Eukaryota; Metazoa; Chordata; Mammalia; Carnivora; Felidae. The transcript is spliced from 8 exons.